Molecule: unclassified non-coding RNA, 344 nt
Filed under: soil metagenome
Description: partial contains 5.8S ribosomal RNA, internal transcribed spacer 2, and large subunit ribosomal RNA
Rfam family: 5.8S ribosomal RNA (bases 1-120)
Source: RNAcentral
GAUGAAGAACGCAGCGGAAUGCGAUAAGUAAUGUGAAUUGCAGAAUUCAGUGAAUCAUCGAAUCUUUGAACGCACAUUGCGCCCGCCAGUAUUCUGGCGGGCAUGCCUGUUCGAGCGUCAUUUCAACCCUCAAGCCCCCGGGCUUGGUGUUGGGGAUCGGCGUGCCCUCGCGGCGCGCCGUCCCAUAAAUCUAGUGGCGGUCUCGCUGUAGCUUCCUCUGCGUAGUAGCAACACUCGCACUGGAUCGCAGCGCGGCCACGCCGUUAAACCCCCCACUUCUGAAAGUUUGACCUCGGAUCAGGUAGGAAUACCCGCUGAACUUAAGCAUAUCAAUAAGCGGAGGA